Long non-coding RNA from Seriola dumerili (greater amberjack), 607 nucleotides. RefSeq lists it as uncharacterized. NCBI's taxonomy places the organism in Eukaryota, Metazoa, Chordata, Actinopteri, Carangiformes, Carangidae. The transcript has 4 exons. The record is from RefSeq and is a predicted model, not a curated record.
UAAUUAAACUGGAAUUACAUGAUGUGACUUGACUCCUGGCUCCGACGCUCUUUUCUCCCACACAAGUUUCGGACCUGAAUCUACUCCCAGUGAAGAGCCAAACCCUCCAGCAUCACAGGACGCACAAAAAUAUGAUUUCGUCAACAUGACAGGCCGAGCGGCGCAACUCGUCCCCGAGUGUCAGACAGUCAGCAGAGCGGGUCACAGGGUCACGAGGCGGCAGAUGACUGGCAGCUCUGUGUUGAAACUCUGAAACUUACUGGAGACGCCAUCUUGACGAAUAAACUACCGACAAUCUGGUCGUGAGCAAAAACCAAACGACUGAUAAACGUCACCAUGUCGAUCGACCAACUGCUGCUUCCUUCUUUCACCCUGAACCAAAGACAGGACUCUGGGUGUGAAGCUUGUGUGUGACCUGACCUGACCUGUAUGACCCUGUGUAACCACAGAUCCUCAGGAUGUGAACAUCGUCGGUGUUUCUCUUCUCAACUGCUUUUUACAAUAAAAUCCUCACGAGACUAAAACCGUCCCGUGAAACAGCUGAAGAGUCAGUUCAGUCUCCUGCUGUGACGCCGCUCAGUGUCUGAAUAAAGCUUCAUUCACAUCA